Agrilus planipennis (emerald ash borer) is the source of this 1100-nucleotide long non-coding RNA. RefSeq lists it as uncharacterized. The transcript has 4 exons. NCBI's taxonomy places the organism in Eukaryota, Metazoa, Arthropoda, Insecta, Coleoptera, Buprestidae. The record is from RefSeq and is a predicted model, not a curated record.
ACUAUUUGGAUAUUGGAUCUUUAUGAUUAGAUCUAUGGAUUGGAUGGAUAUGAUAGAUAUACAGACACAGAAUAUGCAGAUCUAUGAUACAGUGUUAUAGGUUCGUCAUAUCAGUCCUUUCUUACUCAAUCAUAGACCUAUGAUGACUUCUCCAUCGAACACUUCCUCCCUAACGUGGCCUGAUUGCUCCCGCAGAUUUUGGAGGUCGCCAUCGCCACGCUGUUUUGCUGUCCAUGUUCGGAAACUGCGGCUGAAGAUUGACAAUAAAUAGAAGUGGAAGAGUGUUCAUUUUGAUGCUAGUGGAAAAGCAAGUUUGUCUGCUGUGGUGUUCUUUUUACCUUAGGGGAUCUUCUAGUUAAUUUAGGAACAUUAUAAAAACUUAGGAUCCCAAUAAAUUACUGAGCAUUGGUUGUAUCAGUCUUCAUUUGCUCCAGAAAGUAGCUGCACCUACGGUCCUAAAGAGAGCAGAAAGUGCUUUUUUCCCCAUUGGGAACAGAGUCAGUGUGCCACUGCUAAAGGAAGGAUUUGUAAAGAUGAAUGAACCGAUAAGGAACAGUAUUAAUUAAAAACAGUAAAUGAGGUCGCAGAAACUUCAGGUUUUUAGACAUUUAUAACUUAUUUUCAAUAGACACUUUUUAAACAACGUUUUAAAAAUGGCAGAAACAGAACAGCAAAAUUAAUGUGGAAAUGACCUUUCCAUCAGUGUGAAUGUUUAUUUAUUUGCUUUAAAUGUGGUAAUUAAUUACAUUUUCUUGCCCGUUUCUGUAGAUUGCCCAACAAAUGACAAGGAAUUGUUUUUGACGUCUUCAUCUUGUAACAUUAUGGAGUUAAUUUUAAUUUUGCGAGUGAGAGGCAAGUGGAAAUUAAUUUUGAAACGACUGAAACAAGAAAUUGCAGUAGUAUUCCUCCUGGAUUUGGCUUGCUCAUUGCACCUGUGCAAUUUAGAACGCUACUUUCUACAGUUAAUGAAGGUGAGAAUGCACACUUGCUCUCUAUUAAUCUUAUUGGUUACUUGUCUUAUCAAUUGACUAUUGUUCACAGUUUAAAUUGAUGUUGACGUGUAUCUACGGUACUUCAUUUAUUUAAGUAUCUAUUGUUAA